This 497-nucleotide ribosomal RNA is filed under the name uncultured bacterium. RNAcentral describes it as "partial 16S ribosomal RNA". It matches the Rfam family "Bacterial small subunit ribosomal RNA", at positions 28 to 507 of the family's 1533-position model. The record is from RNAcentral.
GAUGAACGCUGGCGGCGUGCCUAAUACAUGCAAGUCGAGCGAACAGACGAGGAGCUUGCUCCUCUGACGUUAGCGGCGGACGGGUGAGUAACACGUGGAUAACCUACCUAUAAGACUGGGAUAACUUCGGGAAACCGGAGCUAAUACCGGAUAAUAUAUUGAACCGCAUGGUUCAAUAGUGAAAGACGGUUUUGCUGUCACUUAUAGAUGGAUCCGCGCCGCAUUAGCUAGUUGGUAAGGUAACGGCUUACCAAGGCAACGAUGCGUAGCCGACCUGAGAGGGUGAUCGGCCACACUGGAAGUGAGACACGGUCCAGACGCCUACGGGAGGCAGCAGUAGGGAAUCUUCCGCAAUGGGCGAAAGCUUGACGGAGCAACGCCGCGUGAGUGAUGAAGGUCUUCGGAUCGUAAAACUCUGUUAUUAGGGAAGAACAAAUGUGUAAGUAACUAUGCACGUCUUGACGGUACCUAAUCAGAAAGCCACGGCUAACUACGUG